Long non-coding RNA from Gopherus flavomarginatus (Mexican gopher tortoise), 718 nucleotides. RefSeq lists it as uncharacterized. The transcript is spliced from 3 exons. Lineage: Eukaryota; Metazoa; Chordata; Testudines; Testudinidae. The record is from RefSeq and is a predicted model, not a curated record.
CAUACAUAAGAAGUAGCACAUAUCCUGAAGGAAUGAAUAAAGCAGGCAGACUGAACCUGCGUUGAUAUGCUGUCAACUUUUCAUUGGAAGAGGGGAGAUUGUUCCAUUCAGCAAAAGGAAGAAAGGUUGUCGUUGUGCAUACCAUGAAAGAAGCCCUGCAACGCUUUAAAAGGUAUCAUGACAGUCCAGAGGGUGGACAUCUAGGAAUAUUCAAAACCAGGAAUGCGCUGACAUCAAAAUACUAUUGGCCAGGGAUGACAAAAGACAUUGCCAAUUGGGUUGCACAGUGUCUGACUUGCCAGAAAGAGGGAAAGCAAUCAAAUCUGGAUACCACCUUGAAAAGCAUAAAGGUGAAUUUUUGAAUCAGACACGUUAUUGUUUAUCAUUAUCCAUGGUUAUUUCUGCAAUACAAUGAGGGUUUGAUUUUGAAACAAGUCCAAUGCAUGUAAGUGGCACAGCAUAGUGCAGCAAUUACCUCUAAUACGCCUUUGCACUGGCUGGGGAUAUUUCUUCUGCUUUACUCUGUUAUUGUUUUCAAACAGUCAUUCCUGUACUUCUUUUUGUUUGUUUAUUCUUUCUUUCUUUCUCUUCUGCAUUUAAAAGUGGGCUUUCAUUUGGAUUCUAUGGCUGUUUUAACCAUAUUACAUUGUGUACUCUGCUUCUGACAUAUGGGUUCAUUGAGAACAUUUAGUAAUAAACAUGUGAAGUAUGACUGUAA